GUUUCGGCGACCAUGGCGAAGGGGAAAUACCCGGCUACAUUCCGAACCCGGAAGUCAAGCCCUUCAGCGCCGAUGGUACUGCACUGGAGACGGUGUGGGAGAGUAGGACGUCGCCGGACAA
Molecule: ribosomal RNA, 121 nt
Filed under: actinobacterium LLX17
Lineage: Bacteria; Bacillati; Actinomycetota; Actinomycetes
Source: RNAcentral